RNAcentral lists this ribosomal RNA (555 nucleotides) under Idris semiflavus. RNAcentral's name for it is "partial large subunit ribosomal RNA". It matches the Rfam family "Eukaryotic large subunit ribosomal RNA", at positions 386 to 753 of the family's 3401-position model. Lineage: Eukaryota; Metazoa; Arthropoda; Insecta; Hymenoptera; Scelionidae. The record is from RNAcentral.
GAGAAACCCGAAAGAUCGAAUGAGGAGAUUCAUCGUCAGCGUGAUUAGUUUCCAUGCGUUUCGCGAUGAAGAUGGAAUUUAUUUUAAAUUCACGCAUUCGCUGUGGUAUAUCUGAUUAUGUCGGCGUGCACUUCUCCUCUAGUAGAACGUUGCGACCCGCUGGGUGUUGGCUUAAGGACCAAGCUGUAGACUGUUUUUGUUCGUUUACGCGUUCAUUGACAGACACUUGUGUUUCUGGCUGACUGCUCGGCGGUACACACAAGGUAUUGAGCCGCACAUUUUGAAUGCGUUCAGACUCGUUUACAAGCUAAUUAUUGAAUAACUUGAGGGUGCGGACCUAGUGCCGUCCUUAAGGGUAGUUGGCUGUUGGUUAACGAUGUUCUCGAACUGCCUAAAAUUGAAUUAACAAUACCGGUCAGCGACGCUAUUGCUUUGGGUACUUUCAGGACCCGUCUUGAAACACGGACCAAGGAGUCUAACAUGUGCGCGAGUCAUUGGGAUAUAUUAAACCUAAAGGCGCAUUGAAAGAGAAGGAUCGACCUUGUGUUGAUUGAG